Molecule: ribosomal RNA, 292 nt
Filed under: uncultured Peptoniphilus sp.
Lineage: Bacteria; Bacillati; Bacillota; Tissierellia; Tissierellales; Peptoniphilaceae
Description: partial 16S ribosomal RNA
Rfam family: Bacterial small subunit ribosomal RNA
Source: RNAcentral
AACCCUUCGGGCGAAGAUAAGACGGAUUAGCGGCGGACGGGUGAGUAACACGUGAGUAACCUGCCUUUUACACAGGGAUAGCCUCGGGAAACCGGGAUUAAAACCUGAUGAAACUAUCAAAUCACAUGAUUAAGAAAGUUAAAACUCCGGUGGUAAAAGAUGGACUCGCGUCCCAUUAGCUAGUUGGUGAAGGUAACGGCCCACCAAGGCAACGAUGGGUAGCCGGCCUGAGAGGGUGAACGGCCACAUUGGAACUGAGAAACGGUCCAAACUCCUACGGGAGGCAGCAGUC